Molecule: unclassified non-coding RNA, 431 nt
Filed under: soil metagenome
Description: partial contains 5.8S ribosomal RNA, internal transcribed spacer 2, and large subunit ribosomal RNA
Rfam family: 5.8S ribosomal RNA (bases 2-119)
Source: RNAcentral
GUGAAGAACGUAGUGAAAUGCGAUACGUAAUGUGAAUUGCAGAAUUCAGUGAAUCAUCGAAUCUUUGAACGCAUAUUGCGCUCUCUGGUAUUCCGGAGAGCAUGCUUGUUUGAGUAUCAGUAAACACCUCAACUUCCAUAUCUUUUUUGAAAUGGGAGUUGGACUUGAGUGAUCCCAACGCUUUUCCUCACCGAAAAGUGGCGGGUUACUUGAAAUGCAGGUGCAGCUGGACUUUUCUCUGAGCUAUAAGCAUAUCUAUUUAGUCUGCCUAAAAACAGAUUAUUACCUUUGCUGCAGCUAACAUAAAGGAGAUUAGUUCUUGUGCUGACUGAUGCAGGAUUCACAAAGACAGGCUUCGGCCGACUUUGUAAACUCGAUCUCAAAUCAAGUAAGACUACCCGCUGAACUUAAGCAUAUCAAUAAGCGGAGGA